This 100-nucleotide ribosomal RNA is filed under the name Triticum aestivum (bread wheat). The record is from RNAcentral. Lineage: Eukaryota; Viridiplantae; Streptophyta; Magnoliopsida; Poales; Poaceae.
GGAUGCGAUCAUACCAGCACUAAAGCACCGGAUCCCAUCAGAACUCCGAAGUUAAGCGUGCUUGGGCGUGACCUCCUGGGAAGUCCUCGUGUUGCAUUCC